GGCUGGAGAAGGCUGCAGGUGAUAUUGGUAUGGAAAACAGGGGCUCGUGAGCCUUCUGAUCACCCCUGCAUGCAAGACGACAGGAAAAAACAAGCUGCAACUGAUGGGAUUUGCACUGACAAGUCAGUGCUUAAGCCCAUUCAACAUAAAGAUGAAGAUACAAAACUUCUCCUUUCACUGAGAAAAAACAAGCAGCUGUUGGGACAACAAUGAGAGAGGACAAGCUGAGGCAAGGCAGGAGGACCCCUUAGGAAGGAAGAACUGCGGGAUAAAGCGUAGCUGAGUGAAUGAACCGUGCAUGAGAGGACGGAAAGCUGGAAUAACAACCCAAACUGUUGGCCAAAAGCCCCAUGUAUCUGUCUGAUGCCAAAUGUCUGAAUCUUCUGAGAGUCCCCAAUACAGAAUCCCAGCCAGUACAACCAUUGCCUGUUUGGACUUGACUGCAAAUUCCCAUCUGCUUUAUUAAGCUGCUCUCAUUUGAUCUUUAGCCACAUACGUCUCUGCAGUUUACUACAAAUGGAAGACUUUCUAUCUUGCCAAUGCCAAUGAACAUUGCCUGCCAGGGCUGGCAACUGGGAAUUGUACGGACAUGAACACAUUCAGAAACCCAGCACAUGAGGCAAAACCUUUUGUGGUGUGACAUUAAUCCUAACGAUACCUCAGUAAGAACAAUACAAUGCUUGCAGAAACAUUAAGUUAGUAUAUCAGUGAUUGGAUAGUGGAAUGGAGUGAGUUAAAAUACGAGAGAUCUGUAAGGUGUCUGAGAGACUGCAGAAUCCACAAUCGAUCAGGCAGCCAGAACUGGAAAAUUAGAACAUGCCUUGUAACAACUCAGUAGACUGAAAUGCACAGAAUCAGCAAGAAUUUUAAAUUGGUUGAUUUUUUGUUAUAUUGGUCAUUUAUUUACAUUUUUUGCUUUUUACAAAUGUCCUAUUAUAUAUUAUGUGAAUACAGUCUAUUUACACUUGCAUAAUUUGAAGAACAGAUAAGUGAAAUAGCUGUAUGCUAAUGCUCUUGCCAUCUAUAAAAGUAGCCUAAAUUAACUACAGUUUUGAGCUGAUCUCAGUAAUGAGCUUACAGUGAACUUCUGUAAGAAUGGCAUGUUUUUAAAUGAGACAAAGCAAAAUAAAAAAAAAAAAAAAAAAAAAGGAAAGCAGGUUUUAUCUUGUAUCCAGUAAUGUAGAAUACUUACUUAACUUUCCAACCAGAGCAAGUAAAAGGUGACAAAAACCCCUAAAUGAUAAAAACGGGUAAACCAGAAAUUUUAAAAGCUCAUAAACCACUUCCCCACCCUGUCUAUUGUAGUCGUCCUUUCAGUUUAAUCAAGCAUUUUCUGGACUGCAUGAAACUCUGCACGAUCCUCUUCAGCCUUAGGGUUUCACCGUCACCUCUCAGGUGUGGGUUUUGUCUGCUCCCUGUCCCUCCCGGCAGCGUCUCCCUGGGAACCGCAGGCUCCAGCUCUUUGCCUCUGCCCCCAAGUCUGUGGGCUCCAAGACCCCUCCAGGAAGAGUCUCAGCUACUCCCAAGAGAAAGAACAAUCUGCCCCGGAGGAUCUGAUCCACUUACUUGCUUUCUGAAGUAACAUAGCACACAAACUGAAAACAAACCAAAUGAACGGAUGCUCUCCAUUGGCCCCUGCAAUCCCUCGGAUACAAUUUGCAUUGUGGUCCAAUAUAAACAAUCCCUGUAGUUCACUAUUCUUCAUGUACACAAAGAGCUGUUUAAAAAAGAAAAAAGAAUUGCUAUGUCUUCUGCCUUAUAGCAAAACCAUAUAGGAAAAAUCCUUAGAGCUUAGAAUGUAAUAACUAUUUAUUGAGAUGGAUGAUUUGUCUGCAAUGAACAUUUCUCCCCUACUCUCCGCUAUACAAUAAACUGACUGAGUUGUA
Long non-coding RNA from Aquila chrysaetos chrysaetos, 1886 nucleotides. RefSeq lists it as uncharacterized. The transcript is spliced from 2 exons. The record is from RefSeq and is a predicted model, not a curated record. NCBI's taxonomy places the organism in Eukaryota, Metazoa, Chordata, Aves, Accipitriformes, Accipitridae.